This 468-nucleotide ribosomal RNA is filed under the name uncultured bacterium. RNAcentral's name for it is "partial 16S ribosomal RNA". It matches the Rfam family "Bacterial small subunit ribosomal RNA", at positions 28 to 507 of the family's 1533-position model. The record is from RNAcentral.
GACGAACGCUGGCGGCGUGCUUAACACAUGCAAGUCGAACGGAAAGGCCCUGCUUUUGUGGGGUGCUCGAGUGGCGAACGGGUGCGUAACACGUGAGUAACCUGCCCUUGACUUUGGGAUAACUUCAGGAAACUGGGGCUAAUACCGGAUAGGAGCUCCCGCUGCAUGGUGGGGGUUGGAAAGUUUCGGCGGUUGGGGAUGGACUCGCGGCUUAUCAGCUUGUUGGUGGGGUAGUGGCUUACCAAGGCUUUGACGGGUAGCCGGCCUGAGAGGGUGACCGGCCACAAUGGGACUGAGAUACGGCCCAGACUCCUACGGUAGGCAGCAGUGGGGAAUAUUGCACAAUGGGCGGAAGCCUGAUGCAGCAACGCCGCGUGCGGGAUGACGGCCUUCGGGUUGUAAACCGCUUUCGCCUGUGACGAAGCGUGAGUGACGGUAAUGGGUAAAGAAGCACCGGCUAACUACGUG